UCCGGUUUGUCACCGGCAGUCUCCCUAGAGUUCCCGGCCGAACCGCUGGCAACUAGGGACAAGGGUUGCGCUCGUUGCGGGACUUAACCCAACAUCCCACGACACGAGCUGACGACAGCCAUGCAGCAUCUGUGAGGCACCCUCGAAGGUCACACGUUUCCGUGCUCUUGCAGCCCCAUGUCAAGUCCAGGUAAGGUUCUUCGCGUUGCAUCGAAUUAAAGAACAUGCUCCGCUGCUUGUGCGGGCCCCCGUCAAUUCUUUUGAGUUUUAGCCUUGCGGCCGUACUCCCCAGGCGGAAUGCUUAAAGCGUUAGCUGCGCCACUGAGCAGCAAGCUG
This 336-nucleotide unclassified non-coding RNA is filed under the name uncultured bacterium. Its description in RNAcentral is "contains 16S-23S intergenic spacer region". The record is from RNAcentral.